Molecule: long non-coding RNA, 429 nt
Organism: Notothenia coriiceps (black rockcod)
Lineage: Eukaryota; Metazoa; Chordata; Actinopteri; Perciformes; Nototheniidae
Exons: 3
Source: RefSeq, a predicted model, not a curated record
AGAGGAGAGAGAGAGGAGGCACACGGAGAGAGGGCACCAUGACGAAAAGCGAAAGCACGACAGCAGAUCCAGAGAGCAUCGAGACGUGAAGGAAGAGGUCAGAGGUCAUGGAGGUGACAGAGAGCGAACAGAACGGGAUAACAACAAAGAGAGGAAGCACAGAGAGGACGAAGAACCGGAGAGACAUCAUCGCAGAGACCCGACCAGCUCCAGGAAAUCUGACAAAGCCUCGGACAAAAGUCAUGACGCUAGAACUGAGGGUAAGGCAGCGGAGCGGGGCCUGAGAGCCACAGCAGAGCCUGUAAGAAGUUCCACCUUUCUCAAAGAAUAUGUGCACUAACGCUUGAACCUGAACUCACACAUGCACGUGUGCAAUAUGUGGUGUAAUGUGUUUGGGGCCAUAACAUUAAAUUACAACAGGAUUGUACG